GGGGAAGGUGUCAAGGUGGGUGCCAUGCGUGCGGCGUGGUCGUGAAGAGCUUCGUGUCUACCCACAAAGAAACAUUAUAGAAGCAACGCCGCACUCACUUCUGACUUGGAACAUCACCCAGGUGGGAGAGGAUGAUGUGCUUCCAACAUGAAAGACGUCAAAGAGACUAGAAGGAAACUUUCCAAUUGACCAUAAAAGUACUGAACAUAGCUGGCCAUCUUUCAGUGAAGUAUUGCGAAUUCCUACACAAAGAACAAAAUGAAAGUGGUGAUUUUGGCUGUUUAUGAACUCCAG
Long non-coding RNA from Mobula hypostoma (lesser devil ray), 294 nucleotides. RefSeq lists it as uncharacterized. The transcript is spliced from 3 exons. The record is from RefSeq and is a predicted model, not a curated record. Lineage: Eukaryota; Metazoa; Chordata; Chondrichthyes; Myliobatiformes; Myliobatidae.